Molecule: unclassified non-coding RNA, 290 nt
Filed under: Basidiomycota sp.
Lineage: Eukaryota; Fungi; Basidiomycota
Description: partial contains small subunit ribosomal RNA, internal transcribed spacer 1, and 5.8S ribosomal RNA
Rfam family: Eukaryotic small subunit ribosomal RNA (bases 1-47)
Source: RNAcentral
AAAGUCGUAACAAGGUUUCCGUAGGUGAACCUGCGGAAGGAUCAUUACAAAUCCAAAACAAUGACUCGUUGAAAUGUUCUCGGCCUUGGGGUGUGGCAUCCACUUUAUCACCGCCUCAAAGACGGUGGUGUCGUGGACGCGCCACGCCAAAGAGAAAAGAGAAGCUGGCAUACUUGCAUGGCUUCUCUAACACCUCUGAAACCAAGGUUCGCACAAUGACGCUUUUCAUAUCGACAUUUACGUAUCAGUGAUAACAAAAACAACUUUUAACAAUGGAUCUCUAGGCUCUU